ACUCAAAUGAAUAGACGGGGGCCCGCACAAGCGGUGGAGCAUGUGGUUCAAUUCGACGCAACGCGAAGAACCUUACCUGGGCUCGAACGGCUGUGGACGGGUGCAGAAACGUGCCUUUCCUUCGGGACCGCAGUCGAGGUGCUGCAUGGCUGUCGUCAGCUCGUGUCGUGAGAUGUUGGGUUAAGUCCCGCAACGAGCGCAACCCUCGUCCGUUGUUGCCAGGCUUUUACGAGCGGCACUCGGCGGAGACCGCCAGCGAAAAGUUGGAGGAAGGUGGGGACGACGUCAAGUCAUCAUGGCCUUUAUGUCCAGGGCUACACACGUGCUACAAUGGGCAGUACAACGGGUUGCCAAGCCGCAAGGUGGAGCUAAUCCCUAAAAGCUGUCCUCAGUUCGGAUCGCAGGCUGCAACUCGCCUGCGUGAAGCUGGAAUCGCUAGUAAUGGCGCAUCAGAACGGCGCCGUGAAUACGUUCCCGGGCCUUGCACACACCGCCCGU
This 498-nucleotide ribosomal RNA is filed under the name uncultured bacterium. RNAcentral's name for it is "partial 16S ribosomal RNA". It matches the Rfam family "Bacterial small subunit ribosomal RNA", at positions 899 to 1397 of the family's 1533-position model. The record is from RNAcentral.